This is a non-coding RNA of Solanum lycopersicum (tomato), 6964 nucleotides long. The record is from RefSeq and is a predicted model, not a curated record. Lineage: Eukaryota; Viridiplantae; Streptophyta; Magnoliopsida; Solanales; Solanaceae.
AGGUCAAGCGAGCCCCGGAGCAGACGAUAGGUAUGAAGUAAGUUGUCCCUGAUGGCCAAAAUGAUCCAGUUUCAAGGUCAAACAAACCGCAAAGCAGCCAAUUGGUCUUGACGGUCAAAACGUCCCAUUUUGAACAUCAAACGAGCCCCAAAGCAGGUAAACCCCUCAUUUUAUUGAUUUUUAUGUUCUAUAGUCCAUGAUCUUGUUUGGUAAUCCAAAAUUCCAAUGUAUUUUUUGCCCAAAUUUUUUGUGUAAGUCCGGUUAAACGUUAGUUAUGGAUCCAGUUGUCCAUAAUGUCCAAAACAACCUAUUUUGAAGAUCAAACGAGCCCCGAAGAAGGUUAAACCCCAUUUUUUCUGAUUUUCGUGUGCUAUAGUCCAUAUAUUUUUGGUGAUCCAGAUUUCCAAUGUUUUUUUUGCUCAAAUUUUCUGUUGACGUCCGUUAUGACGUUAGUUAUGGAUAUAGCUGACUCUGACGCCCAAAACAACUCAUUUUAAAGGUCAAAUAAGCCCCAAAGCCUGUAAACCCCAUUUUCCCGAUUUUCGUGUAUUAUAGUUCAUGAAUUUUUAGUGAUCCAGAAUUCAGACGUCUUUUUGCCCCAAGUUUUUUGUGAACAUCCGUUAAGACGUUCUCUAUGGAGCCAGUUAAUCCUGAAGAUCAAAAAGACCCAUUUUGAAGGUCAAACGAGUCUAGAAGAAGAUUUUUCGUGGACGUCUGUUAAGACGUUAGUAAUGGAACCAAUUGGCCUUCACGGCAAAAACAACCCAAUUUGAAAAUCAAACGAGUCCCGUAGCAGGUAAACCCCCCUCUAUUUUUCCGAUAUUCAUGUGCCUUAGUCUAUGGGUUUUUGUUAUCCAGAAUUUCGACGUCUUAUUUACUAAAAUUUUUCUUGGGCAUAUGUUAAGACGUUAGCUAUCGAGCCAGUGUGCCCUAACGGUCAAAAUGACCCAUUUUCAAGGUGAAACGAUCCAUGGAGCAUGUAAACCCUAUUUUGCCGAUUUUCGUGUACUAUAGUCCAUGGAUUUUUGGUGAGCUGGAAUUCCGACAUUGUUUUUGCCAAAAUUUAUUGUGGAUGUACGUUAAGAUGUUAUCAUUGUAGCCAGUUACUCCUGACGGCCAAAACGACCCAUUUUGAAAGUCAAACAAUCACCAGACUAAGUAAACCCCUCAUUUUGCUGAUUUUCAUGUGCUAUAGUCCACUAUCUUUUUUGGUGAUCCAGAAUUUUGACGACUUUUUUAUCUAAAUUUUUUUGUGGACGUCCGUGAAGACAUUAGCUAUGGAGCUAGUUGUCCCUAACAACCAAAAUAACCCAUUUUGAAAGUCAAACGAGCACUGGAGCAGGUAAACCCCCCAUUUUGCCGAUUUGCGUAUGCUAUAGUCCAUGGAUUUUUGGUGAUCCAGAUUUCCAAUGUAUUUAUUGCUCAACGUUUUUGUGGAUGUCCGUAAAUAAGUUAUUUCUGGAGCCAUUUAGACCUGACGGCCAGAACGACUCAUUUUCAAGGUCAAACGAGCCCCGAAGCAGAUUUUAAUGUAAUAUAAUACAUGGAUUUUUGGUUAUCCAGCGUCUUUUUUGCCCAAAUUUUGUGGUGUCCGUUAAAACAUUAUCUAUGGAGCCAGUUGGCCCUGGCGGCCAAAAUAUCUCAUUUUGAAGGUCAAACGAGCACCAGAGAAGGUAAAUCCCUCAUUUUACAGAUUUUCAUGUGCUAGUCCACGAUCUUUUUUGGUGAUCUUGAAUUCCGAUGUCUUUUUUCCCAAACUUUUUAUGGACGUUCAUUAAGAUGUUAGUUAUGAAGCCAAUUGACCUUGAUGGCUAAAACGAUCCAUUUUGAAGGUUAAAUGAGCUCCCGAGCAGGUAAACCCUCUAUCUUGUCGAUUUUCAUGUACUAUAAUCCAUGAAUUUUUGGUGAUCCGGAAUUCCAACUUUUUUUUCUCAAAUUUUUUUGUGGAUGGACGUUAAGACGUUAUCUAUAGAGCCAAUUGACCCCUGAUGGACAAAACGAUCCAUUUUGUAAGUCAAAUGAACCCCGAAGUAGGUAAACCUAUUUGCCAUUUUUUGUGUAUGAUAGUCCAUUGAUUUUCGGUGAUUCAGAAUUUUGACUUCUUUUUCGCCCACAUUUUUUAUGGAUGUGCAUUAAGAAGUUAUCUAUGAAGCCAGUUGGCCCCUGAUGGCUAAAAAGGCCCAUUUUGAAGGUCAGAUGAGCCCCGAAGCAUGUAAACUUCUCAUUUUAUCAAUUUUUGUGUGCUAUAGUUCACAAUCUUUUUUAGUGAUCUAGAAUUCCAACAUAUUUUUUGCCUAAAUUUUUUGUAGACGCCUGUUAUAACAUUUUUAAUGGAGCCAUUUGGCCCUAACGACAAAAACAACUCAUUUUGAAGGUCAAGAGCCCAGAGUGAGUAAACAUCCAAUGUUGCCAAUUUUCAUAUGCUAUAGUCCAUAGAUUUUUUGUAAUCUAGAAUUCUGAUGAUUUUUUUGCUUAAAUUUUUUGUGGAUGUCCAUUAAGGCGUUAUCUAUAGAGCCAUUUGCCUUGACGGCUAAAACGAUCCAUUUUCAAGGUCAAACGAGCCCCGAAGUAGGUAAACCCCAUUUUGUUGAUUUUCUUGUACUAUAGUCCAUAGAUUUUUGGUGAUCCAGAAUUCUAACGUCUUUUUUGCCCAAAUUUUUUGUGGACGUCCAUUAAGUCAUUAUCUAAAUAGUCAGCUAGCCAUGACGAUGAAAAUAAUCUAUUUUGAAGGUCAAACGAACCCUAGAGAAGGUAACCCCCCAUUUGGCCGAUUUUCGUGUGCUAUAGUCCACGAUCUUUUUUUGUGAUCAAGAAUUCCGACGUCUUUUUUGCCCAAAUUUUUUUGUGAACAUUCAUUAAGAAUUUAGAUAUGGAGUCAGUUGGUCAUAACGGCCAAAACAAUCAAUUUUAAAGGUCAAACGAGCCAUGGAGUAGGUAAACCCCUCAUUUUGCCAAUUUUUAUGUGCUAUAGUCCAUGGAUUUUUAGUGAUCCAGAAUUUGACGAUCUUUUUGCUCAAUUUUUUAUGCAUGUCCGUUAAGACGUUAUCUAUGAAUUCGUUUUUCCAUGAACUCCAAAACAAUCCAUUAUAAGUCAAACGAGCCCCGAAGCAGGUAAACCCCAUUUCUGUGAUUUUCAUGUAAUAAAAUUCAUAAAUUUUGGUAAUUCAAAAUUUCGACAUCUUAUUUGCCCAAUUAUUUGUGGACACUUGUUAAGAUGUAAUCUAUGAUCUAGUUGGCUCUAACGGUCAAAACAACCAAUUUUGAAGGUCAAAUGAGCAUUGGAGUAUGUUAACCCCCCAAUUUGUUGAUUUUAGUGUACUAUAGUUCAUAUAUAUUUGGUGAUCCAAAAUUCGAACAUCGUUUUUUGCCCAAAUUUUUUGUCGACGCACAUUAAGACGUUAUCUAUGGAACCAGUUGGCCCCGACAGCCAAAACGGCCCAUAUUGAAGGUCAAAUGAGCCCCAAAGUAGGUAAAACCCUCAUUUUGCCAAUUUUUGUGUGGUAUAGUCUCUAAUCUUUUUGGUGAUCCAAAAUCCGAUAUUAUUUGCAUAAAUUUUUGUAGACAUCCAUAAAGAGGUUAGAUAUGGAGCCAGUUGGCCUAACAACCAUAAAGACUCAUUUUGAAGGUUAAACGAGUCUCGGAGUAGUUAUGGAGUAAGUUGUCUCUGAUGACCAAAAUGAUCAAAUUUCAAGGUCAAACGAACCACAAAGCAGCCAAUUGGCCCUGAUGGUCAAAACUUCCCAUUUUGAACAUCAAACGAGCCCUGAAGAAGGUAAACCCCUCAUUUUGCUGAUUUUUAUGUGCUAUUGUCGAUGAUCUUGUUUGGUAAUCCAGAAUUCUGAUGUUUUUUUUCCCAAAUAUUUUUUUGAAAGUCCGUUAAGACGUUAGAUAUGGAGUCAGUUGUCCAUAAUGUCCAAAAUGACCUAUUUUGAAGAUCAAACGAGCCCCGGAGAAGGUUAACCCCUCAUUUUUUCUGGUUUUCGUGUGCUAUAGUCCAUAGAUUCUUUGUGGUCCAGAUUUCCAAUGUCUUUUUUGUUCAAAUUUUCUGUGGACGUCCAUUAUGACGUUAGCUAUGGAUCUAGUUGGCUCUGACGCCCAAAUUAACUGAUUUUCAUGGUCAAAUGAGUCCCAAAGCCUGUAAACCCUAUUUUUUUUUUAUUUUUGUGUAUUAUAGUUCAUGAAUUUUUAGUGAUCCAGAAUUCAGACGUCUUUUUUGUCCAAGUUUUUUGUGGACGUCCGUUAAGACGUUCUCUAUGGAGUCAGUUGGCCCUGACGACCAAAAAAGCCCAUUUUGAAGGUCAAACGAGCCUAAAAGCUGAUUUUUUGUGGAUGUCCGUUAAGACGUUAGCAAUGGAACCAGUUGGCCUUCACGACCAAAACAGCCCAAUUUGAAGGUCAAACGAGCCCCGGAGCAGAUAUUAGGUAUGGAGCGAGUUGGCCCUAACGGCCAAAAUAACCCAUUUUGAAGGUCAAACGAGCACUGGAGCGGGUAAACCCCUUAUUUUGCCAUUUUGCGUAUGCUAUUGUCCAUGAAUUUUUUAUGAUCCAGAUUUACAACAUCAUUAUUGCUUAAAUUUUUUGUGGAUGUUCGUUACAAUGUUACUUAUACAGCCAAUUAGUCUUGACGGCUAAAACGAUCCAUUUUGAAGGUCAAACAAGCUCAUGAGCAGGUAAACCUCCAUCUUUCCAAUUUUCAUGUACAAUAGUCGAUUAAUUUUUGGUGGAUGUCAGUUAAUACGUUACCUACGGAGCUAUUUGUCCCGACAGCCAGAACGGACCAUUUUCAAGGUCAAACGAGCCCCGAAGCAGUUAAACCCCAUUUUGCCAAUUUUUAUGUACUAUAGUCCAUAGAUUUUUGGUUAUUUAGAAUGCCGACGUCUUUUUUUUCCAAAUUUUUUGUGGCAUCAGUUAAAAAAUUAUCAUGGAGUCAGUUGGCCCUUACGGUCAAAACGUCCCAUUUUUAAGGUCAAACGAGCUUCAGAGAAGGUAAACCCCUUAUUUUGCUGAUUUUCAUGUGCUAUAGUCCAUGAUCUUCUUUGGUUAUCCUGAAUUUCGAUGUUUUUUUUUGCCCAAACUUUUUGUGGAUGUGCGUUACGAUGUUAGUUUUGGAGACAAUUAGUCGGCUAAAACGACCCAUUUUGAAGGUCAAAUGAGCUCACGAGUGGGUAAACCCCUAUCUUGCCGAUUUUCAUGUACAAUAGUCCAUGAAUUUUUGGUGAUUUGAAAUUCUAACUUAUUUUUUUCCAAAACUUUUCCUGGGCGUCCGUUAAGACGUUAUCUAUAGAUUCAGUUGGCUCGUGAUGGCAAAAAAUGAUCCAUUUUGUAGGUCAAACGAGCCUCGAAGCAGGUAAACCCCAUUUGCCAUUUUUGUGUAUGAUAGUCCAUUGAUUUUUGGUGAUCCAAAUAUUUGACGUCUUUUUCGCUCAAUCUUUUUAUGGACAUACGUUAAGAAGUUAUCUAUGAAGCUAGUUGGCCCUGAUGGUCAAAAAGACUCAUUUUGAAGGUCAAACGAGUCCCGAAGCAUGUAAACUACUCAUUUUGUCAAUUUUCAUUGCUAUAUAUAGUCCACAAUCUUUUUUGGUGAUCCAGAAUUUCAACGUAUUUUUUACCUAAUUUUUUGUAGACAUCUAUUAUGACGUUUUUAAUGGAACCAUUUGGCCCUAACGUCUGUUUUGACGUUUUAUUUGUCCAAUUUUUUUGUGGACGUUUAUUAAGAUGUUUCUAUGGAUCCAGUUAUAUCUAACGGCUAAAACGAUCCAUUUUGAAGGUCAAAUGAGUCCAGAGCAGGUAAACCCCUUAUUUUGUCGACUUUCGAGUUCAUAGUCCAUAAUCUUUUUUGAUGAUCUAGAAUUCGACGUCCUUAUGAAUAAAAAUUUUUGGGACGUCCGUUAAGACAGUAACUAUGGAGAGAUUUGGCUCAAACGACCCAUUUUGAAGGUCAAACAAACCUCAAAUCAGGUAAACCCCCAAUUUUACAUAUUUUCGUGUGCUAUGGUCCUUGAAUUUUUGGUGAUCUAGAAUUUCAACGUCUUCAAUGCUCAAAUUUUUGGUGGACAUUCGUUAAGACGUUAGCUAUGGAGCCAAUUGGCCUUGAUGGUCAAAAUAUCCCAUUUCCUAGGGCAAACUAGCCCCGAAGCAAAUAAACCCCCUUUUAUUACUUUUCGUGUAAUAUAGUCCAUGAAUUUUUGGUGAUCGGGAAUUUCGACGACUUUUUUGUAUUAAAUUUUUGUGGAUGUCUAUGGAUCUAGUUGUCCCUGACGGUCAAACUGAUCCAUUUUGAAAGUCAAACGAUCCCGAAAUAGGUAAACCUCUCAUUUUGCCGAUUUUCGUGUGCUUUAGUCCAUGACCUUUUUUGUGAACCAGAAAUUUGACAUUGUUUUUGCCUAAUUUUUUUUGGACGUCUGACGUUAGCUAUAGAGUCAGUUGACCCUGACGGUUAAAAUGACCCAUUGUGAAGGUCAAACGAGGCCCGAAGCAGGUAAAUCCCAUAUUUUAUCAAUUUUCCCGAGCUAUAUUCCGUGGAUCUUCAGUGAUCCAGAAUUCCAACAUUUUUUUGCUCAAAUUUUUCGUAGACGUACGUUAAGACAUUACAUAUAGAGUCAGUUGACCCUGAAGGUUAAAACAACCAAUUUUCAAGGUUAAACGAGCUCCGAAGCAAGUAAAUACCAUUUUUCCAAUAUUCAUGUACUAUUGUGCAUGAAUUUUUGGUGAUCCAGAAAUCUGACGUCUAUUUAGUCCAAAUUUUUUGUGGACGUCCGUUAAUAUGUUAUCUAUGGGGCUAGUUCUUCCAAACGGCAAAAAGAGCCCAUUUUGAAAGUCAAACUAGUCCCAAAACAGGUAAUCACCUCAUUUUACUGAUUUUCAUGUGCUAUAUUCCACAAUCUUUUUAUGGUGAUUCAUAAUUUCGACGUCUUAUUUGUCCAAACUUUUUGUGGACGUCCGUAAAGACGUUAAUUAUGGAGUA